GUGUGUUUGUGUGUGUGUGUGUGUGUGUGUGUGAGUGUGUGUCUGUGUGUGUGUGUGUGUGUGUGUGUGUGUGUGUGUGUUUUGUUGUCUGGUUUCCAUGGCAGCAGCACAGUAUGGAGUUCCUUCACUGGAGCUGUGAGGAUGUUUCUCUCUGGAUCGAGUCUCUUGGUUUCUCUCAGUAUCAGGAUCAGACCCGAGUGGAUUCUACAGAACAACAGAUGAAUUAGUGUCGACGUGCUGUAGAGUUUAGAGUACUGGACACGCGACCUUUGACCUCUGCAGACGGUGGAGAAGCAGCUUUCGCUCCGUCAUCAUCUCCGCUUGUGCUUUGUUAGCGUCACGUAAGGAAAACGCAGGCUUCCCUUCAUCAGCGAUAUCUGUUGCCUCCGUGCCAGACUCCGCCGAGAAUCAACCUCCGUCUGAGAGAAACGAUGCUCUGAUUCCCGUCUCACUGAUCUUUUCAGCUGAAAAACAGCUCAGAUUCUCCUGGAAAGCCGUGUUCAGGAGGUUACAGAUCAGCAUAAUUAAAAUAUGAUAAGUAGUGUAAUUAUUUUGGUUACUUUGAUUAUAUUUUUGAUUCGUUUUCUUAAUUUAAAUCUAACUUUGAAUCGUUUUCAAACAUUUAGAGCAGGUGAACCUUACAGUGGUAUUUGAUACAGAUUGUAAUCUAAAAUACAUCCUUAAAGCAAAUCUAAAUGGGAACCCUAACUAUAAACUAAAUACAGUUAAUAUUAUAACCUGCACUGUAACCAGGACACCUUAGAUGAAAGUCUUAUGUUUCUUUGUAACUCUGAGAAUGUGUUCAGGACUCAUUAAAGACCUUUCCUUCUUCAGGAGUGUUUCACUCAGAAUCACAUCACGGGCAGAAAACUGAUUCACGUCAACUGUUUCAAUCUACCACGACUAGGAAUCACCGACUUCCAGCACAUGAAGCUGAUCUCAGCUCAGGUCAGAGGGCUGCUGGGCGUCUCGGAGCGUCUCUGGAAGCAGAGUGUGGCUGAUCCUCUUCAUGAUGACCGGACGCUGUUCCUGCAGAUGAAGAGCCGGAGCGGUCAGCAGACAGAGUCCUUCACUUAUGAGCGGUUCCUCAAGAACAAGAGCCAAGAAGAUUCUCUCAGAAGAGCGGGACUCCUGCAAUAAACAGACAGGAAAUGUGUCUUUCGGUGUCCUUACUCCUUCAGAAUCUACUACACUGCAAAACAUUAUUCUCUUACAUAGUAUAUUUAGAAAUAUCUACAUUUACUGUCAAAGUAAAAUGACUUUAUGAUUU
Puntigrus tetrazona (Sumatra barb) is the source of this 1270-nucleotide RNA transcript. It is a transcript of the gene named sterile alpha motif domain-containing protein 15-like, with no coding region annotated. The record is from RefSeq and is a predicted model, not a curated record. Lineage: Eukaryota; Metazoa; Chordata; Actinopteri; Cypriniformes; Cyprinidae. The transcript has 3 exons.